CCCAGACAGCCAGGAUGUUGGCUUAGAAGCAGCCAUCAUUUAAAGAAAGCGUAAUAGCUCACUGGUCGAGUCGGCCUGCGCGGAAGAUGUAACGGGGCUAAACCAUGCACCGAAGCUGCGGCAGCGAACGUAUCACUUAAAGCGAUUCAGCGGGUUACGAUUGACGGAGCGAAGCGACGUCAAAGCGUAUACAAAGUCGAGUCGGUUUAAGGAUACGUUCGUUGGGUAGGGGAGCGUUCUGUAAGCCUGUGAAGGUGUGUCGUGAGGCAUGCUGGAGGUAUCAGAAGUGCGAAUGCUGACAUAAGUAACGAUAAAGCGGGUGAAAAGCCCGCUCGCCGGAAGACCAAGGGUUCCUGUCCAACGUUAAUCGGGGCAGGGUGAGUCGACCCCUAAGGCGAGGCCGAAAGGCGUAGUCGAUGGGAAACGGGUUAAUAUUCCCGUACUUGGUGUUACUGCGAAGGGGGGACGGAGAAGGCUAUGUUGGCCGGGCGACGGUUGUCCCGGUUUAAGCGUGUAGG
This 518-nucleotide ribosomal RNA is filed under the name Salmonella enterica subsp. enterica serovar Infantis. Its description in RNAcentral is "partial 23S ribosomal RNA". It matches the Rfam family "Bacterial large subunit ribosomal RNA", at positions 1084 to 1524 of the family's 2925-position model. The record is from RNAcentral. Lineage: Bacteria; Pseudomonadati; Pseudomonadota; Gammaproteobacteria; Enterobacterales; Enterobacteriaceae.